Molecule: ribosomal RNA, 449 nt
Filed under: uncultured bacterium
Lineage: Bacteria
Description: partial 16S ribosomal RNA
Rfam family: Bacterial small subunit ribosomal RNA
Source: RNAcentral
AACGAACGCUGGCGGCAGGCCUAACACAUGCAAGUCGAACGAACCGUUUACGGUGAGUGGCGCACGGGUGAGUAACACGUGGGAAUAUACAUUUCGGUAAGGAAUAACGUAGAGAAAUUUACGCUAAUACCUUAUAAUGACUACGGUCCAAAGAUUUAUCGCCGAAGGAUUAGCCCGCGUUAGAUUAGGUAGUUGGUAGGGUAAUGGCCUGCCAAGCCUACGAUCUAUAGCUGGUCUUAGAGGAUGAUCAGCCACACUGGAACGGAGACACGGUCCAGACUCCUACGGGAGGCAGCAGUGAGGAAUAUUGCGCAAUGGGGGAAACCCUGACGCAGCCAUGCCGCGUGAGUGACGAAGGCCUUAGGGUUGUAAAGCUCUUUCAGAUGUAAAGAUAAUGACGGUAACAUCAGAAGAAGCUCCGGCUAAAUUCGUGCCAGCCGCCGCGGUAA